This 422-nucleotide ribosomal RNA is filed under the name uncultured bacterium. RNAcentral describes it as "partial 16S ribosomal RNA". It matches the Rfam family "Bacterial small subunit ribosomal RNA", at positions 360 to 774 of the family's 1533-position model. The record is from RNAcentral.
AAUAUUUGACAAUGGGGGAAACUCUGAACCAGCCAUGCCGCGUGUGUGAAGAAGGUCUUCGGAUGGUAAAGCACUUUAAGUUGGGGGGAAGGGUUGUUGGCUAAUAUCCAGCAAUUUUGACGUUACCGACAGACUAGGAACCGGCUAACUCUGUGCCAGCAGCCGCGGUAAUACAGAGGGUCCAAGCGGUAAUCGGAAUUACUGGUAAUAAAGCGCGCGUAUGUGUUUCAGUAAGAUGGGUGUGAAAUCCCCGGGCUUAACCUGGGAACUGCUUUCAUAACUGCUGAGCUAGAGUACGGUUGAGUGUAGUGGAAUUUCCUGUGUAGCGGUGAAAUGCGUAGAUAUAGGAAGGAACAUCAGUAGCGAAGGCGACUACCUGGACUGAUACUGACACUGAGGUGCGAAAGCGUGGGGAGCAAACA